CAGUAGCCGCGGUAAUACGUAGGUGGCAAGCGUUGUCCGGAAUUAUUGGGCGUAAAGGGCUCGCAGGCGGUUUCUUAAGUCUGAUGUGAAAGCCCCCGGCUCAACCGGGGAGGGUCAUUGGAAACUGGGAAACUUGAGUGCAGAAGAGGAGAGUGGAAUUCCACGUGUAGCGGUGAAAUGCGUAGAGAUGUGGAGGAACACCAGUGGCGAAGGCGACUCUCUGGUCUGUAACUGACGCUGAGGAGCGAAAGCGUGGGGAGCGAACAGGAUUAGAGACCCCCGUAGUCCCUGUCUAUUAUAC
Molecule: ribosomal RNA, 301 nt
Filed under: uncultured bacterium
Lineage: Bacteria
Description: partial 16S ribosomal RNA
Rfam family: Bacterial small subunit ribosomal RNA
Source: RNAcentral